Molecule: ribosomal RNA, 740 nt
Filed under: uncultured soil bacterium
Lineage: Bacteria
Description: bacterial SSU rRNA
Rfam family: Bacterial small subunit ribosomal RNA
Source: RNAcentral
AGAGUUUGAUCCUGGCUCAGAUUGAACGCUGGCGGCAUGCCUUACACAUGCAAGUCGAACGGCAGCACGGGUGCUUGCACCUGGUGGCGAGUGGCGAACGGGUGAGUAAUACAUCGGAACAUGUCCUGUAGUGGGGGAUAGCCCGGCGAAAGCCGGAUUAAUACCGCAUACGAUCUACGGAUGAAAGCGGGGGACCUUCGGGCCUCGCGCUAUAGGGUUGGCCGAUGGCUGAUUAGCUAGUUGGUGGGGUAAAGGCCUACCAAGGCGACGAUCGGUAGCUGGUCUGAGAGGACGACCAGCCACACUGGGACUGAGACACGGCCCAGACUCCUACGGGAGGCAGCAGUGGGGAAUUUUGGACAAUGGGCGAAAGCCUGAUCCAGCAAUGCCGCGUGUGUGAAGAAGGCCUUCGGGUUGUAAAGCACUUUUGUCCGGAAAGAAAUCCUUGGCUCUAAUACAGUCGGGGGAUGACGGUACCGGAAGAAUAAGCACCGGCUAACUACGUGCCAGCAGCCGCGGUAAUACGUAGGGUGCAAGCGUUACUCGGAAUUACUGGGCGUAAAGCGUGCGUAGGUGGUGAUUUAAGUCCGUUGUGAAAGCCCUGGGCUCAACCUGGGAAUUGCAGUGGAUACUGGGUCACUAGAGUGUGGUAGAGGGUAGCGGAAUUCCCGGUGUAGCAGUGAAAUGCGUAGAGAUCGGGAGGAACAUCUGUGGCGAAGGCGGCUACCUGGACCAACACU